CUAGUUGGUAAGGUAACGGCUUACCAAGGCAACGAUGCAUAGCCGACCUGAGAGGGUGAUCGGCCACACUGGAACUGAGACACGGUCCAGACUCCUACGGGAGGCAGCAGUAGGGAAUCUUCCGCAAUGGGCGAAAGCCUGACGGAGCAACGCCGCGUGAGUGAUGAAGGUCUUCGGAUCGUAAAACUCUGUUAUUAGGGAAGAACAUAUGUGUAAGUAACUGUGCACAUCUUGACGGUACCUAAUCAGAAAGCCACGGCUAACUACGUGCCAGCAGCCGCGGUAAUACGUAGGUGGCAAGCGUUAUCCGGAAUUAUUGGGCGUAAAGCGCGCGUAGGCGGUUUUUUAAGUCUGAUGUGAAAGCCCACGGCUCAACCGUGGAGGGUCAUUGGAAACUGGAAAACUUGAGUGCAGAAGAGGAAAGUGGAAUUCCAUGUGUAGCGGUGAAAUGCGCAGAGAUAUGGAGGAACACCAGUGGCGAAGGCGACUUUCUGGUCUGUAACUGACGCUGAUGUGCGAAAGCGUGGGGAUCAAACAGGAUUAGAUACCCUGGUAGUCCACGCCGUAAACGAUGAGU
RNAcentral lists this ribosomal RNA (577 nucleotides) under Staphylococcus aureus. Its description in RNAcentral is "bacterial SSU rRNA". It matches the Rfam family "Bacterial small subunit ribosomal RNA", at positions 245 to 814 of the family's 1533-position model. The record is from RNAcentral. Lineage: Bacteria; Bacillati; Bacillota; Bacilli; Caryophanales; Staphylococcaceae.